UGAUUUCAAAAGGCAAUUUCCAAAGAUAAUUUCAAAACUAAACCAGUAUGACUACACAACCAUCAUUUGGCAUUUAGCACAUCUUAAAAUAAAGCUUCUCAACAGAUUAGAACCAACUCGACUUCCAUUUUUCAAAAGCUUUUCAAAAGGCACACCUGGUGUUGAACAAGCAAAACCAAACUCAUAAUCUGCAUUAACAUGUAUUUAAAAUCAAUGACUAUAGAUUCAAAACUAAAUAUUUCAACUAGUUAAAUUGUAGGUCACCGUCCAUAUUUAACACAUACUAUAGGGUCCAAAUGCUCUCCAAUCAAUUGCACCCUUAUAAGUUCAAAUUUAAACUUAACUAAAUAGAAUGAAAUACACACGAAGAAAAACUAUACUAGAAAGAACUAAACCAAGUUUUAUGUUGAACAGAUAGCAGAAAAUUAGUAUUGAUCGAUUUCCUCAUCUUGAAUUACAUGAGUUUAAACUUGCACUUCACAUACAAUAGAUCCAAGGCAUACCUGGUGUUGAACAAACAAAACCAAACAAAAGUAAGGGUUCAGCAAAUGACCAGCAACAUGAAUCAGCCCAGAUUCAGUUUCAAACAGAGAAUAAAGUGCAGCCGCUCAGGGAAUGUUUUCAAUCGACCAGUAAACCCCCCUCGACUUCCAACCAAAUUUCUAAAACCAAGCUUAAUCCAUUUUAAACACAAAUGAUUCAGAAACCUUUCAGAAAUUAAAACUCCAAACUCACAUAAGAGUAUCAGUAAAACAGUGAUUUCUCUUCAAAAUUUGCAGUUGUUUGUUUUUCUAAAUUUUUAUCCCUUC
Molecule: long non-coding RNA, 809 nt
Filed under: Nicotiana benthamiana
Lineage: Eukaryota; Viridiplantae; Streptophyta; Magnoliopsida; Solanales; Solanaceae
Description: long non-coding RNA (NBEN_LNC004022)
Source: RNAcentral